This 379-nucleotide ribosomal RNA is filed under the name uncultured Streptococcus sp. RNAcentral describes it as "bacterial SSU rRNA". It matches the Rfam family "Bacterial small subunit ribosomal RNA", at positions 993 to 1382 of the family's 1533-position model. Lineage: Bacteria; Bacillati; Bacillota; Bacilli; Lactobacillales; Streptococcaceae. The record is from RNAcentral.
CUAGAGUAUAGAAAGUUACUCGGUACAUCGGUGACAGGUGGUGCAUGGUUGUCGUCAGCUCGUGUCGUGAGAUGUUGGGUUAAGUCCCGCAACGAGCGCAACCCCUAUUGUUAGUUGCCAUCAUUCAGUUGGGCACUCUAGCGAGACUGCCGGUAAUAAACCGGAGGAAGGUGGGAUGACGUCAAAUCAUCAUGCCCCUUAUGACCUGGGCUACACACGUGCUACAAUGGUUGGUACAACGAGUUGCGAGUCGGUGACGGCGAGCUAAUCUCUUAAAGCCAAUCUCAGUUCGGAUUGUAGGCUGCAACUCGCCUACAUGAAGUCGGAAUCGCUAGUAAUCGCGGAUCAGCACGCCGCGGUGAAUACGUUCCCGGGCCUU